GGUUACUGCUAUCGAGGUUCGACUAAGCCAUGCGAGUCGAAUGUAGCAAUACAUGGCGAACUGCUCAGUAACACGUGGACAACCUGCCCUUAGGACGGGGAUAAACCCGGGAAACUGGGUAUAAUACCCGAUAGGUCUCGAUUGCUGGAAUGCAUCGAGAUUUAAAGCUCCGGCGCCUAAGGAUGGGUCUGCGGCCUAUCAGGUAGUAGUGGGUGUAGCGUACCUACUAGCCUACGACGGGUACGGGUUGUGAGAGCAAGAGCCCGGAGAUGGAUUCUGAGACACGAAUCCAGGCCCUACGGGGUGCAGCAGGCGCGAAAACUUUACAAUGCUGGCAACAGCGAUAAGGGAACCUCGAGUGCCAGGUUACAAAUCUGGCUGUCGAGAUGCCUAAAAAGCAUUUCAUAGCAAGGGCCGGGCAAGACCGGUGCCAGCCGCCGCGGUAACACCGGCGGCUCGAGUGGUAACCGUUAUUAUUGGGUCUAAAGGGUCUGUAGCCGGCCGGAUAAGUCUCUUGAGAAAUCUGGCAGCUUAACUGUCAGGCUUUCAGGAGAUACUGUCUGGCUCGAGGCCGGGAGAGGUGAGAGGUACUUCAGGGGUAGGGGUGAAAUCUUGUAAUCCUUGAAGGACCACCAGUGGCGAAGGCGUCUCACCAGAACGGACCUGACGGCAAGGGACG
Molecule: ribosomal RNA, 679 nt
Filed under: archaeon enrichment culture clone A21H83
Lineage: Archaea
Description: bacterial SSU rRNA
Rfam family: Archaeal small subunit ribosomal RNA
Source: RNAcentral